This 117-nucleotide ribosomal RNA is filed under the name Propionibacterium sp. The record is from RNAcentral. Lineage: Bacteria; Bacillati; Actinomycetota; Actinomycetes; Propionibacteriales; Propionibacteriaceae.
AAGGGUGUGCAACUCAGGAGGGAAACACCCGGUCCCAUUCCGAACCCGGAAGUUAAGCCUCUCAGCGCCGAUGGUACUGCACACGGGAGUGUGUGGGAGACUAGGACAUUGCCGGAC